AUGGUGCAAUCUAUGAUGUCUCUUACUGAUUUACCGCUAUCGUUUUGGGGUUAUGCUUUACAGACGGCCGCAUUCACGUUAAAUAGGGCACCAUCGAAAUCCGUUGAGACAACGCCUUAUGAACUAUGGUUUGGCAAGAAACCAAAGUUGUCGUUUCUUAAAGUUUGGGGCUGCGAUGCUUAUGUGAAAAAGCUUCAACCUGAUAAGCUCGAACCCAAAUCAGAGAAAUGUGUCUUCAUAGGAUAUCCAAAGGAAACUAUUGGAUACACCUUCUAUCACAGAUCCGAAGGCAAGACUUUUGUUGCUAAAUUCGGAAACUUUCUAGAGAAGGAGUUUCUCUCGAAAGAAGUGAGUGGGAGGAAAGUAGAACUUGAUGAGGUGACUGUACCUGCUCCCUUAUUGGAAAUUAGUACAUCACAGAAACCGGUUCCUAUGACACCUACACCAAUUAGUGAGGAAGCUAAUGACAAUGAUCAUGAAACUUCAAAACAAGUAUCUACUGAACCUCGUAGAUCAACUAGAGUAAGAUCCGCACCAGAGUGGUACGGUAAUCCUGUUCUGGAAGUCAUGCUACUAGAUCAUGAUGAACCUACAAACUAUGAAGAAGCGAUGGUGAGCCCAGAUUCCGCAAAAUGGCUUGAAGCCAUGAAAUCUGAGAUGGGAUCCAUGUAUGAGAACAAAGUGUCGACUUUGGUUGACUUGCCCAAUGAUCGACAAGGAAUUGAGAAUAAAUGGAUCUUCAAGAAGAAGACUGACGCUGACGGUAAUGUUACUGUCUACAAAGCUCGACUUGUCGCAAAAGGUUUUCGACAAGUUCAAGGGAUUGACUACGAUGAGACCUUCUGA
This 846-nucleotide ribosomal RNA is filed under the name Triticum aestivum (bread wheat). Its description in RNAcentral is "partial small subunit ribosomal RNA". Lineage: Eukaryota; Viridiplantae; Streptophyta; Magnoliopsida; Poales; Poaceae. The record is from RNAcentral.